This 95-nucleotide transfer RNA is filed under the name Deltaproteobacteria bacterium. RNAcentral's name for it is "tRNA-Ser". It matches the Rfam family "tRNA". From Rfam's summary of the family: Transfer RNA (tRNA) molecules are approximately 80 nucleotides in length. Their secondary structure includes four short double-helical elements and three loops (D, anti-codon, and T loops). The record is from RNAcentral. Lineage: Bacteria; Pseudomonadati; Myxococcota; Myxococcia.
GGAGAGGUGGCUGAGUCCGGCUGAAAGCGACCGACUCGAAAUCGGUUAGGUGGGCUAAAACCCGCCUCGGGGGUUCGAAUCCUCCCUCUCCGCCA